RNAcentral lists this transfer RNA (67 nucleotides) under Trygonorrhina fasciata (eastern fiddler). Its description in RNAcentral is "tRNA-Ser". Lineage: Eukaryota; Metazoa; Chordata; Chondrichthyes; Rhinopristiformes; Rhinobatidae. The record is from RNAcentral.
AAGAGAGGUCUGGGACAAAGAGAACUGCUAACUCUCUCAUUCAUGGUUCAAAUCCAUGGCUCACUUA